GAUGAACGCUGGCGGCGUGCUUAACACAUGCAAGUCGAACGGAAAGGCCCAAGCUUGCUUGGGUACUCGAGUGGCGAACGGGUGAGUAACACGUGGGUGAUCUGCCCUGCACUUCGGGAUAAGCCUGGGAAACUGGGUCUAAUACCGGAUAGGGCCACAUUUUGGAUGGUGUGGUGGAAAGUUUUUCGGUGUGGGAUGAGCUCGCGGCCUAUCAGCUUGUUGGUGGGGUAAUGGCCUACCAAGGCGUCGACGGGUAGCCGGCCUGAGAGGGUGUACGGCCACAUUGGGCCUGAGAUACGGCCCAGACUCCUACGGGAGGCAGCAGUGGGGAAUAUUGCACAAUGGGCGCAAGCCUGAUGCAGCGACGCCGCGGGGGGGAUGACGGCCUUCGGGUUGUAAACUCCUUUCGCUAGGGACGAAGCGUUAUGUGACGGUACCUGGAGAAGAAGCACCGGCUAACUACGUG
Molecule: ribosomal RNA, 466 nt
Filed under: uncultured bacterium
Lineage: Bacteria
Description: partial 16S ribosomal RNA
Rfam family: Bacterial small subunit ribosomal RNA
Source: RNAcentral